RNAcentral lists this unclassified non-coding RNA (2312 nucleotides) under Hevea brasiliensis (rubber tree). The record is from RNAcentral. Lineage: Eukaryota; Viridiplantae; Streptophyta; Magnoliopsida; Malpighiales; Euphorbiaceae.
AACAAGGAAUCAAACGGUUGUGCAAUUAUUGAAUAUUUAUUGUAAUUGACUCAUUCACCAAACAUGGUGCAAAGUUAUGGACCUCUCUCUUUCAUAUGCACAAGUUGUACAAGACAUAUCUUAUGUCCUUAAAGCCAGUGCCAGUCAACUUAAAGCAAUUGUCUAUCAAAACCUAAUAACUAUGGCUAGAAACUGCAGCACAAUUAUAACACGUGCAAUUUGGAAUUCUAGUUAUACAUGCAAAAGAGGAAAUGCUAAAACUUGAACAAAUUUUUGUGAACCUUCAACACCAAUCGACAUGUCAAUGAAACCCUGUUUGCCGUCCGAUGAAUAACCUUAUGAUCUCUACUUCCCCCUAUUUGAACAGCCUUCCCAGGUUCUAACAAUGGCUGGUCAAAUUUAUGACUUACCAGAGGUUCUGCAUCAUUUAUGGCCCCAUCAUAUUGAUGCACCUCGCUAUCUUUUAUACCAUGCAGGUAGUCUGAAUAGGCAUUAUCCUUGAAUAUCAGUAGACUACGAGGCAUCAGCAAGACAGAAAAGGGAUGGUGAUUAUCCAUCUUUUUAUCUGUCUCAAUCUUUAAAGGUUCUUCACCAGAUCCUUCACUUUUAACAUCAUUGUCCCCUGAAUCUGUGCAUGUUCUUAACCUUGAAUGCGGAAUAAAGUCCAUGACAGUAGGCGAUCCAAGAGAGAGAAUAGCAACUACAGGAAAAUAAGCAGGCCCAUCCUGGUGUGGCAUUAUUCCCUGGUCAGGAAGGUACUCAUUGAUGAGAACAUGAUUGAUUGCUGAGGGGAACAACCCUGAUUCUUCAUAUAUUCUUUGCGUAAUCUUUGUUAGCCAAGGAGGCACUGCAAUAGAGUUUUCUCAGCAGAUUGUCAAAAUAAUACAUCAAAUUAAGAACAAAUUCAGGAUGAAAUUUACAACAUUAACCUAUAAAAUAAAAUCUCAGAAUUUCCUAACUUCUUUGAUGGUAUGUGUUAAGCAACAUAUCAACAAUAGCACCAACAACCCAUAGUUCAAUGAGUUACUAAAGGAAUGAGAUGCAAUGGGUUUUAUUGUUAUUAAAACAGCAUAGUGUAACGACUGAAACUGAAAAUCAAUUAGUAAAAUGAUUGAUACAUGAUCUCAAACUUUUGAAAUGGACACUAAAAGCAUGUUGAGAAAAAUAAUUUAUAGGCAAACAAUCAUAAUAAUUUUUUUUUAAUGUCUGAUUCUUUGAAACAUUACUUUCAAAAUCUUUAAACAACAGUAAGAAACUUCAGAACAUGGUUUCAUAUUUAACAGCCAAAAAAUAUUCCCUGUAAAUGGUCCUAACAAGUAUAAAAAUACUGCCUGCUCUAUGAGCUAACUUUAAAAGUUGCAGAUGUGCACGAAAAGCAUAUUUGCAACCCAUUGGACCACAAUUGUUAAUGACUCAAAUAUUAUCAUUUACAGAAUCAGAAAAGAAAAUAACAGCAGUAAACUACAAACUCCGAAACCAAACAUGACACAAAAUACCUAACUAUGUGCAACUCAAGAAAUGGCUAAAGAGUCAGUCUGCUGUCUGCACUUCCAACCAGAACAAUCUGCAGUUCCAAGAAGAACAAGCCAAGGGUUGCAAUGAACAAUUUCAUAGAUUGAAGCAUACAUUUGGAGCAUCUGAACUUUUGAUACAAGUUUGAACACAAAUUUGAAUCAUCGAACGAUGGUCUAAAGGUAGUAAAUUAAAACUGAAAAACAAUGUAGAAAUAAAACAAAAUGAACACAUCUCAGCAAAGCAGACUACUAAAUUUUCUAAAGCACAACCAUAACCAGGAGAGUUCAAACAAGAUAUUAUUUCCCACUUACAGUCCUGUGGUAGAAGACCCUUCUCAUGGACAACACCACCCCAAUUCUGAAGCCUCCUAUUCUUCAAAGAUUUCCACUUUGAUACAGGAGCGCCAUAUACCCUAUCUAAAAGAUGCAUUUCUUCACUCUCUGUGAUAAAGUCAGGCUUGUAUAUCACAGUUGGUAAAUCCCCCACUUGAAAGUUAUUCAAUUUUCCUUCCAUUUACCUGCCAUAAUGAACAAGAAAUUUUACUAAGGAAAGAAGAAUGCAAAAAAUGAAGGCCAAGAAAUCCUCCAAAGACAAACAUAAGACCAAAGAAUUUACUAUUAGAAUAUUAAAAAGGUAAAAACUCCAUCACCCAAAGCCAAAGACGCUUCUCUGCUGCUCUUCCUCUUCUUCUUCUGCUUCUUCGCCGCCGCUCCCACUGCCCCCGCUGCCGCUGCCGACUAUACUGGCACCUGAACGGACCUGGCAAGCAAUCGGAAGACGUCGAAAAUGAAAGCGAC